CAGCAGCCGCGGUAAUACGUAGGGUGCGAGCGCUAAUCGGAAUUACUGGGCGUAAAGCGUGCGCAGGCGGUUGUGUAAGACAGGUGUGAAAUCCCCGGGCUUAACCUGGGAACUGCGCUUGUGACUGCACAGCUAGAGUAUGGCAGAGGGGGGUGGAAUUCCACGUGUAGCAGUGAAAUGCGUAGAGAUGUGGAGGAACACCGAUGGCGAAGGCAGCCCCCUGGGCCAAUACUGACGCUCAUGCACGAAAGCGUGGGGAGCAAACAGGAUUAGAUACCCCCGUAGUCCCUGUCUCUUAUCC
RNAcentral lists this ribosomal RNA (301 nucleotides) under uncultured bacterium. RNAcentral's name for it is "partial 16S ribosomal RNA". It matches the Rfam family "Bacterial small subunit ribosomal RNA", at positions 509 to 809 of the family's 1533-position model. The record is from RNAcentral.